UUCCUGGUGGUCCAGUGGCUUAGACUCCUUGCCUCCAAUGCAGGCAGCCCAGGUUCAAUCCCUGGCCAAGGAA
Molecule: transfer RNA, 73 nt
Filed under: Bos taurus (domestic cattle)
Lineage: Eukaryota; Metazoa; Chordata; Mammalia; Artiodactyla; Bovidae
Also listed under: 5 other names
Rfam family: tRNA
About the family: Transfer RNA (tRNA) molecules are approximately 80 nucleotides in length. Their secondary structure includes four short double-helical elements and three loops (D, anti-codon, and T loops).
Source: Rfam by way of RNAcentral